RNAcentral lists this ribosomal RNA (304 nucleotides) under Drosophila fumipennis. RNAcentral describes it as "partial 12S ribosomal RNA". Lineage: Eukaryota; Metazoa; Arthropoda; Insecta; Diptera; Drosophilidae. The record is from RNAcentral.
AAAAUUUGUUAUUAAUUUGAUUUAUAUGUAAAUUUUUGUAUGAAUUUAUAUUUAUUUUAAAAAUGAAUAUAAUAUAUUUAUUCGCAGUAAUUAAUAUUAUUAAUUAAAGAAAUUUAGAAAUAGCAAUAUUAAAAAGUAUUGGCAAAAUUGGUGCCAGCAGUCGCGGUUACACCAAUAAUACAAAUAAAUUUUUUUAGUAAAAGUUAAAUGAUUAUAUAAUUAAAUAAAAUUAAAUUUAUUAGGUGAAAUUUUAAAUUUAAAUUAUUUAUUUGUAAAAAAAUUGAAACUAAAAAAUUUUAAUUAA